GACGAACGCUGGCGGCGUGCUUAACACAUGCGAGUCGAACGGAAAGGCCCUGCUUUUGUGGGGUGCUCGAGUGGCGAACGGGUGAGUAACACGUGAGUAACCUGCCCUUGACUUUGGGAUAACUUCAGGAAACUGGGGCUAAUACCGGAUAGGAGCUCCUGCUGCAUGGUGGGGGUUGGAAAGUUUCGGCGGUUGGGGAUGGACUCGCGGCUUAUCAGCUUGUUGGUGGGGUAGUGGCUUACCUAGGCUUUGACGGGUAGCCGGCCUGAGAGGGUGACCGGCCACAUUGGGACUGAGAUACGGCCCAGACUCCUACGGGAGGCAGCAGUGGGGAAUAUUGCACAAUGGGCGGAAGCCUGAUGCAGCAACGCCGCGUGCGGGAUGACGGCCUUCGGGUUGUAAACCGCUUUCGCCUGUGACGAAGCGUGAGUGACGGUAAUGGGUAAAGAAGCACCGGCUAACUACGUG
Molecule: ribosomal RNA, 468 nt
Filed under: uncultured bacterium
Lineage: Bacteria
Description: partial 16S ribosomal RNA
Rfam family: Bacterial small subunit ribosomal RNA
Source: RNAcentral